RNAcentral lists this long non-coding RNA (1819 nucleotides) under Malus domestica (apple). RNAcentral describes it as "long non-coding RNA (MDOM_LNC019581)". The record is from RNAcentral. Lineage: Eukaryota; Viridiplantae; Streptophyta; Magnoliopsida; Rosales; Rosaceae.
AUGUAGUUGGAAAGAAAGACAAAUCUUAAGCAUGUUAAGAUUUGGGGUUGUGUGCUAAUAAGCAAUAUUUGUUAGAUAACAAUCUUGUGGGAUAUCCUUAAAUUAACUUUUGGAUAUCGCUUCUAUAAACCAACUAACAAAUGUUGUUUUGUUGGGUAGUUCAUUGUAAUCUUACAAUGUGAUUUGCCUAAAAGCAAAUGAACUAGAGAUAGAACUCAAAGAAUGGGUUCUUUGAGAGACAAGAAAGUAAUCAACAAAUAUAACAACCUAGUUCCUAUACCUCAAGCUCCAAGGUAGUCGAUAAGGAUUUAUAAACCGUCUCAGUUGAAUGGUUUUGAACUUUAUGACUAUGUCAUAGAGUUACACCUCUUAAUUUGAAAGAAAUAAGAAUGAAAAUCCUUAUGACUACAUUGAGUGUGUAUAUGAUAUAUACUCAAGAAAAUGGUAAAGUAUCAUUUGACCCGAAAUAAUGAAACCCUCAUAAGCUAAUUGGUAGCUUAAGGUGACUACAAUCAAAGAGAAUGGUUGACUUUGAAGAAACCAUCUUUGAGAUAGUCUUGGUUUCAAUUAAUUCGAAGAUAGCUAGCUACAACUAAAUGGUGAUUCAAUGUUUGGACAUAAUAUGGGUUUCCGAAACCAUUAUUAAGAUAGUCUUAAUAAUAUAUGUCUAAAACUAUGAAUCACAAGACAUAUAAGUUGUAAAGAUCCAUCCAUCAUGAAUCUUAGCAAGCUAGUGGGAGUUAUAAGCGUCUUAUGAGAGAAAGGUCAAAUCGUUUGAUUUCUCAUAAAGAUGUAAAUAAAUCUUUUGUUUACUAGGUUUACAAAAGAUUAGUGGGAGUUAACCAUAUUCCUAAAUUUGUAUAUAUAUAUAUAUAUAUAUAUAUGUGAUAUAUAUGAAUAUAUAUGUGAUAUAUAUGAAUAUAUAUAUGAUAUAUUAAUUUUGGAAAUGAAAAGAAUACUUCUUCGUUAAAGUUAUGACUUUAAACGUUCUAUAAAGAUAGAAUGUAUAUGGGAGACAUAGUCUAUACAUGGGAUGGAAAUCUAUAAUGAUAUAUUUCAUGAUAUAAUUGGAUUAUAUCAAUCCCUGAUAAUAGACAAUGGAUGCAAGGAAGUUUCUCAUAUGAUGAUAAACUUCAAUUAGAAGGACGACUCUAGUGUGACUAGCAAGUUGCCAUUCUCAAAGGGAACGUCCCCCUUUGACUCCCAAAGAAAUAAUGCGUAAAUAGAAUCCUUUAUGCAUACGCACAAAGGUGAUUUAUGUAUUUCAUAUUGUAUGAAAAACAUUGAUAUGAGUUGUACCUAGAACGGUACAAGACGAUAUCAGUGCAAGCCCAGGAUCAGAACCAUGGCAACUGUCAAGUGAGUCCUUAAGUAUUUAAGAAAUACUAAAGGAUAAAUUCCUCAAAGAUCGAGGAAGAAUUAGAGUAACGUAAUGGAAGCGUAAAUGUAUUAGAUUAUGAAUCUAAUCCAUCAUUGGAUGUUUCUUCAUUAUGAAUGAAGAGAUAAACAGAUAUCUCUUUAUUAUGACUAAAGAGAUAUUUGGAUGGAAACAUUUAAGUAAUGACUUUAGUGUGUUCCAUUAUGAAUGCAAAAUAUAUUGCCAUAAAGAAGCUUACAACAAUGUUGUUUGGAUGGGAAAGUUCAUUUAUGAACUCUCUAUUCAGUUCCAACCAGAAAGUGUAUGACACUAAUGGGGCGAUAGCUCAAGCCAGGGAAUCAAGGUCUCAUCAAGAUCCGAACUCAUAUGAGAGACCGAACCACAUGAUUGAGAAUCAUGUAUAAUGGUGACGUCGUUAUUCUCAAGGUUGCUUCUAUGGAU